GUCUGCCGCUCUCCCCGGUCUCUCGCUGCGGCUGCUGCAAGCAACACCUUUUUGUGCUCUCGUGCGCCUCUGUGUCUGCGUGCGUACUUCAAGAGUACCACGCCGCCACCUGCCACCCCUCCCCUGCCGAGGGCCGCCCUCAAAAUGGCAUCUGCAACACAAGCAGAAGCUGGCCUCUGCAUCGACCAUCGCUCGUCGGACAGAUAUGCACACACUUACUCAUAAACUCGUGUCGCAUUUGGCGAGAAACAGGGCAGGGGAGCUCACAAGGGCUUCUGUGACUGCGGCGUCUGGUGACUGCGUCUGUGCGUCUUGCAGUGGCUUACCCUUGCGAUGAACAGGACUACGUCUUCCUCGUUCUUCACCACCGCCACCAGUGACCUCCGCCACGGCGCCUCUCUUUCGUUUUUUUUUCAUGCUCGCUGUAUGUACAUUCUCCUAUAAUUCGGCCCUGCUCUGAUCCCCAGCUGCCUUCUGUCUCCGUCUCUUCCCUCCCAUCGCACGCACGCACACGUGUGCGCAG
This 523-nucleotide unclassified non-coding RNA is filed under the name Leishmania donovani. Its description in RNAcentral is "gene:unknown". The record is from RNAcentral. Lineage: Eukaryota; Euglenozoa; Kinetoplastea; Trypanosomatida; Trypanosomatidae.